RNAcentral lists this long non-coding RNA (735 nucleotides) under Elaeis guineensis (African oil palm). RNAcentral's name for it is "long non-coding RNA (EGUI_LNC078616)". The record is from RNAcentral. Lineage: Eukaryota; Viridiplantae; Streptophyta; Magnoliopsida; Arecales; Arecaceae.
AAAAAGGGACCUCAUCAGUCAAAAAGGAUAUUGAUAGAGGCGAUGACCAAAUAGCUUCUAUGCUCGGAACAUUUGGUAGUAAGAAGGGGAAGAAGUUCAAAGACAAACCAGCAAGGACCACAACUCACUAUGUAUAUCCACGUCUUUCCCAACUGAGAUCCGAAGUGGCAAAAGAUUGACCAUGCUUGUAAAGGACAAGAAAAAGAUAUGUAGAGAGCUAUUGCAUCAAAGUGGAGAGCAAUCUCAUUAUAUGCUGCAGAUGGAUCUCCUAAAGCAUCAGUUGGCAUAGUGGACAAUAUGCCAUCCACAUAAGAUCGAUAUAAAUUCGAUCACUCAUCUUAUUUCGGUGGGGUUCAACUCCAAACAUUACCCCUCCUAUCAUAUGGGUAUAGCCAAUGGUUAGAGUUCAGCGUUGCCUCUUGGUAUCUUGAAUAAGAAUAGUUCGGUUUCUAUGACUACACACAUACAUGCAGCCAUAGUACCAGGAACCACAACAGAUCACUAUCAAACAUCAUAUGACUAGCAGGGAUUGAGACAAUAUCCACACCAUUAUAAUUUCCAAGAUCUGAAUUACAAACAAAAUCUAGAUAUCUACAAGGGUCACAUACACUCUAAAUGGGACCAAAUCUAUAAAGUAAGCUAUUAUUCAUUUUUUUCCAAUACUAUACUUUAUUUGUUAUUUUUUAUUUAUAAAUGUUGUUAGUUUAUUGAUCCAUGUUGACUCAACAAGUGUUG